UACGUAGGCAGCGAGCGUUGUUCGGAGUUACUGGGCGUAAAGGGUGUGUAGGCGGUUUUCUAAGUCUGGUGUGAAAUCUCCCGGCUCAACUGGGAGGGUGCGGCGGAAACUAGAGUGCUAGAGUAUGGGAGAGGUAAGCGGAAUUCCUGGUGUAGCGGUGAAAUGCGUAGAUAUCAGGAGGAACACCUGUGGUGUAGGCAGCUUACUGGACCAUGACUGACGCUGAGGCACGAAAGCGUGGGUAGCAAACAGG
This 253-nucleotide ribosomal RNA is filed under the name uncultured bacterium. RNAcentral describes it as "partial 16S ribosomal RNA". It matches the Rfam family "Bacterial small subunit ribosomal RNA", at positions 524 to 776 of the family's 1533-position model. The record is from RNAcentral.